Pongo pygmaeus (Bornean orangutan) is the source of this 856-nucleotide long non-coding RNA. RefSeq lists it as uncharacterized. The transcript is spliced from 3 exons. NCBI's taxonomy places the organism in Eukaryota, Metazoa, Chordata, Mammalia, Primates, Hominidae. The record is from RefSeq and is a predicted model, not a curated record.
CUAGGCAUGCUUUCAUUCAUUCUGUUCAUUAGUACUUCAAAGCAUUCUAAAGUAUACUGCUUUCACAAAAAAAAUUCCAAAAUGACCUAAUGAAUUUAUCAAGACACCUUAGCUCAAGAGUGACUUUGAGUGUUGCUAUUUAAAUAGCAACUUCAAUGAGAAAAGAAAGAAGUGAAUUACAGAAAUUGGAAAGAAGCAGGCUGCAGAAAAUCCAGACUCUCAAAAGUAUGCAUUAACAAACACAAACAGUGAAUUUUCAUGGCCACUUCUCAAGAUAAGCAUGGCUUGUGUCGAGGAAACCCAGAAUUCUCUAAGACAUUUCUUUGAAAUCAUGUCAAAUCUUUGUCUUCAAGGCUGACAUCAUCUUUGGCAAGAUGGGCUUCUCUGCAUAAUGAGCAAAAUAGCCAUCUGCAGCUCUGUACUCAAAACCUCCUACCUCCGAAGCUACAGAGAACUGAGACCACCUCUCCAGUUUAAAAAUUCAUCCAAAAUAUCCUGCCUGGGCCAGAUUGGGAUACUUGCCAACACUUGAACCACCAAGGUUGGGAGAAUGAAAUAUCAUUAUUGACCCAGCUGGAGUCCCUACUCUGUCACCAGUGUCUGCAAUGGUCAACUCUCAAAUAUUUAUGAAGUAAAUACCCCAGAGACAACUUUGUUAAAAUAUAAACAUUGGGAAAAAAAUGUCCAAGGACUUAAUAAACAUCCUUUGUCUAUAAUACACAAGUAUUAUAAUUAUAAUUUUAAAACAUAAUAUAAAUAACUGUAUUCACAAUAUAUUGUAAUACUAACAAGAUUAUUUAUAAUCACCAAAUCUACUAUUCAACCUGUUAUUUGAGACUAAUUAAAGGACUGAUGA